Molecule: ribosomal RNA, 541 nt
Filed under: uncultured bacterium
Lineage: Bacteria
Description: partial 16S ribosomal RNA
Rfam family: Bacterial small subunit ribosomal RNA
Source: RNAcentral
UGGGGAAUAUUGGACAAUGGGCGCAAGCCUGAUCCAGCAAUGCCGCGUGUGUGAAGAAGGCCUUCGGGUUGUAAAGCACUUUUAUCAGGAGCGAAACGCUGUCGGCUAAUACCCGGCGGAACUGACGGUACCUGAGGAAUAAGCACCGGCUAACUUCGUGCCAGCAGCCGCGGUAAUACGAAGGGUGCAAGCGUUAGUCGGAAUUACUGGGCGUAAAGCGUGCGUAGGCGGUUUCUUAAGUCUGCUGUGAAAUCCCCGGGCUCAACCUGGGAAUGGCAGUGGAUACUGGGAGGCUAGAGUGUGUCAGAGGGUGGUGGAAUUCCCGGUGUAGCGGUGAAAUGCGUAGAGAUCGGGAGGAACAUCAGUGGCGAAGGCGGCCACCUGGGACAACACUGACGCUGAGGCACGAAAGCGUGGGGAGCAAACAGGAUUAGGAUACCCUGGUAGUCCACGCCCUAAACGAUGCGAACUGGAUGUUGGUCUCAACUCGGAGAUCAGUGUCGAAGCUAACGCGUUAAGUUCGCCGCCUGGGGAGUACGGU